GCUCUUAUAGCUUACCUUUAAAGUAUAGCGCUGAAAACGCUAAGAUGAGCCCUAAAAAGUUCUAAGAGCA
This 70-nucleotide transfer RNA is filed under the name Chalcorana labialis. Its description in RNAcentral is "tRNA-Phe". It matches the Rfam family "tRNA". Rfam says of the family: Transfer RNA (tRNA) molecules are approximately 80 nucleotides in length. Lineage: Eukaryota; Metazoa; Chordata; Amphibia; Anura; Ranidae. The record is from RNAcentral.